Molecule: long non-coding RNA, 680 nt
Filed under: Mytilus galloprovincialis (Mediterranean mussel)
Lineage: Eukaryota; Metazoa; Mollusca; Bivalvia; Mytilida; Mytilidae
Source: RNAcentral
CAAAGGUGUAGAUUAAAAAUUACACCACUCCAGGCCCUUUUGUUUUCCACGUAAUUAAUAUUGCCAAUAAUGAAGAAGUUCCGGGUCGAGUCCGCUACCGAUAACAAUAGUAUAUUCACCUUUUACCUAUUACCUUAUCUGUACGUUCCGCAUCUGACAGGCGCACCACCAAACGUUGUAUUCAGGAUUAAUAUGCUAUAUACACGGGUCAUAACCACAGGAUUGACACUACUAAAUUGUCAAAUUGUUACCUAUUGUAGUAUUUUAAUCAGUUAGACUUUCUAAGAUAACAAUACGAAUACUAAAAAUCUGGACUAAAAAUAAGGCGUAUAGGUACAGUUUUCAAUUUGUUAGUGGGCAUGACGUAAAACAGCGAGGCAAAGAAUUCAACUUUACUUAUAACUUAUAUAGGACAAUGCUGUUGAUUAAAAAAUACUCCAUUCCAGGACCUUUUGUUUUCCAAAUAAUUAAUAUUACCAAUAAUUGAUAAGUUCCAGUUCGACGGGUUCAAACAGAAAGACUUGAAAGCAGAGAAAAACUGUGUAUCUUAAAAUCGGCAUGACUUUAACAGAUGACAAUACUAAUACUAAAAUAAGGCUUGCGCAUAGUUCUAUACUUUAAUUCAAUCACGAACCCGUGAUAUCACGGGUGUGUUCUAGUACAAUAGAAAAUUACGACAU